AUGAAGGUAAUAGCCUAGAACUGCCGGGGGCUUGGGAACCCAUCGGCAGUUCGGAGCCUUCUAGACCUCCAGAGGGUGGAAGAGCCCGACAUCCUUUUCCUUUCAGAAACAAAGAUGAAGGAAAAGGAGUUGGAUUUCUUCAGGUGGCAGAUGAAUAUGGUAAAUAUGGUGGCAAGAGACUGUGAAGGGCGGAGUGGCGGUCUGGCUCUUUUCUGGAGAAGGGGAGUUGAGGUGAAUCUGUGA
Molecule: ribosomal RNA, 243 nt
Filed under: Triticum aestivum (bread wheat)
Lineage: Eukaryota; Viridiplantae; Streptophyta; Magnoliopsida; Poales; Poaceae
Description: partial small subunit ribosomal RNA
Source: RNAcentral